CCGGAAGAUGCGUUAUCUAGUGGCGGACGGGUGAGUAACACGUGGGUAACCUGCCUUAUGGAGGGGGAUAACAGAGAGAAAUCACUGCUAAUACCGCAUAAGCACACAGUACCGCAUGGUACAGGGUGAAAAGAUUUAUCGCCAUAAGAUGGACCCGCGUCUGAUUAGCCAGUUGGCAGGGUAAAAGCCUACCAAAGCAACGAUCAGUAGCCGAUCUGAGAGGAUGACCGGCCACAUUGGGACUGAGACACGGCCCAAACUCCUACGGGAGGCAGCAG
This 278-nucleotide ribosomal RNA is filed under the name uncultured oral bacterium RP145. Its description in RNAcentral is "16S ribosomal RNA". It matches the Rfam family "Bacterial small subunit ribosomal RNA", at positions 76 to 354 of the family's 1533-position model. The record is from RNAcentral.